Molecule: non-coding RNA, 126 nt
Filed under: Streptomyces sp. AVP053U2
Lineage: Bacteria; Bacillati; Actinomycetota; Actinomycetes; Kitasatosporales; Streptomycetaceae
Description: Streptomyces RNA 5676
Rfam family: Streptomyces RNA 5676
About the family: Identified by deep sequencing of transcriptome at the end of exponential growth phase.
Source: Rfam by way of RNAcentral
ACAAGAGAGACACCCGCUCACAGGUGACCGUGAGCGGUACAGGCCGAGGCCUCCCCGGCUUCGACCUGGUCGUGCCCUCGCGCACACAACCGGAGCUCCCGGGUUCCGGGUCUCCUCACGAUCGGA